Molecule: ribosomal RNA, 520 nt
Filed under: uncultured bacterium
Lineage: Bacteria
Description: partial 16S ribosomal RNA
Rfam family: Bacterial small subunit ribosomal RNA
Source: RNAcentral
GACGAACGCUGGCGGCGUGCCUAAUACAUGCAAGUCGAACGCACUCUCGUUUAGAUUGAAGGAGUUUGCUCCUGAUUGCUCAACAUUUGAGUGAGUGGCGGACGGGUGAGUAACACGUGGGUAACCUGCCCUAAAGUGGGGGAUAACAUUUGGAAACAGAUGCUAAUACCGCAUAAAACCUAACACCGCAUGGUGUAGGGUUGAAAGAUGGUUUCGGCUAUCACUUUAGGAUGGACCCGCGGUGCAUUAGUUAGUUGGUGAGGUAAAGGCUCACCAAGACCGUGAUGCAUAGCCGACCUGAGAGGGUAAUCGGCCACACUGGGACUGAGACACGGCCCAGACUCCUACGGGAGGCAGCAGUAGGGAAUCUUCCACAAUGGACGAAAGUCUGAUGGAGCAACGCCGCGUGAGUGAAGAAGGUUUUCGGAUCGUAAAACUCUGUUGUUGGAGAAGAAUGUAUCUGAUAGUAACUGAUCAGGUAGUGACGGUAUCCAACCAGAAAGCCACGGCUAACUACGUG